UACGGAGGGGGCGAGCGUUGUCCGAAGUUACUGGGCGUAAAGGGCGUGCAGGCGGUCUGUUAAGUGCAGGGUGAAAGCUCCCGGCUCAACUGGGAGAGGUCCUUGCAUACUGGCGGACUUGAGGGGGGUAGAGGAAAGUGGAAUUCCCGGUGUAGUGGUGAUAUGCGUAGAUAUCGGGAGGAACACCUGUGGCGAAGGCGGCUUUCUGGGCCCUACCUGACGCUGAGACGCGAAAGCGUGGGGAGCGAACCGG
Molecule: ribosomal RNA, 253 nt
Filed under: uncultured bacterium
Lineage: Bacteria
Description: partial 16S ribosomal RNA
Rfam family: Bacterial small subunit ribosomal RNA
Source: RNAcentral